Molecule: signal recognition particle RNA, 94 nt
Filed under: Rickettsia endosymbiont of Pyrocoelia pectoralis
Lineage: Bacteria; Pseudomonadati; Pseudomonadota; Alphaproteobacteria; Rickettsiales; Rickettsiaceae
Description: signal recognition particle sRNA small type
Rfam family: Bacterial small signal recognition particle RNA
About the family: The signal recognition particle (SRP) is a universally conserved ribonucleoprotein involved in the co-translational targeting of proteins to membranes. Archaeal SRP consists of a 7S RNA and homologues of the eukaryotic SRP19 and SRP54 proteins.
Source: RNAcentral
AUAUGCUAGUAGUGGGCAUUUAGCUUAUUUAGUCGGUCAGGUUCGAAAGGAAGCAGCCGGAGUAGGAUCUAGUGGGUCAUUACUAGCAUUUACU